This is a non-coding RNA of Cygnus atratus (black swan), 417 nucleotides long. The record is from the annotation of a RefSeq genome assembly. Lineage: Eukaryota; Metazoa; Chordata; Aves; Anseriformes; Anatidae.
AUGCGCCUUGUUUAUCUCAUCCUCGCUGCCUUCCUGAGGCAACCACUGGAUGUCAUGGGGCAGACCUCCGUCACCCAGCAAGAAGGACAAGUCACCGUGGAACAGAGAAACGCAUUCCAGACCACUUGCACGUAUCAAAUCCCCAGCUUGUAUGCCUUGUUCUGGUACCAGCAGAAGAAGGGACAAGCCCCUCAACUGGUCACAUAUCACAACACAGCAGGCACCAAGCAGAACGGCCGUUUCACCACGGGGCUGAACACUGUGGGGAAAUCCAGCAUUCUGCGGCUGAAGGAAGUUGAGCUCUCUGACAGCGCCUUGUACCUCUGUGCUGUGAGUGACACCCUGCUAUCUGCCAGCCAGAUCCUCUUUCCCAGUGGGACUGGUGUCAGUGGCUUGAAAGGAAGGAGAAGGUGGUGA